GAUGAACGCUGGCGGCGUGCCUAAUACAUGCAAGUCGAGCGAACAGAUGAGGAGCUUGCUCCUCUGACGUUAGCGGCGGACGGGUGUGUAACACGUGGAUAACCUACCUAUAUUACUGGGAUAACUUCGGGAAACCGGAGCUAAUACCGGAUAAUAUAUUGAACCGCAUGGUUCAAUAGUGAUAGUCGGUUUUUCUGUCACUUAUAGAUGGUUCCGCGCCGCAUUAGCUAGUUGGUAAGGUAAAGGCUUACCAAGGCAACGAUGCGUAGCCGACCUGAGAGGGGGAUAGGCGACACUGGAAGUGAGACACGGACAAGACUACUACGGGAGGCAGCAGUAGGGAAUGUGACGCAAUGGGCGAAAGCAUGACGGAGCAACGCCGCGUGAGUGAUGAAGGUCUUCGGAUCGUAAAACUCUGUUAUUAGGGAAGAAAAAAUGUGGAAGUAAAUAAGGACGUAGUGACGGUAACUAAUAAGAAAGCAACGGCUAACUACGUG
RNAcentral lists this ribosomal RNA (497 nucleotides) under uncultured bacterium. RNAcentral's name for it is "partial 16S ribosomal RNA". It matches the Rfam family "Bacterial small subunit ribosomal RNA", at positions 28 to 507 of the family's 1533-position model. The record is from RNAcentral.